This 1085-nucleotide ribosomal RNA is filed under the name Acinetobacter gandensis. RNAcentral's name for it is "bacterial SSU rRNA". It matches the Rfam family "Bacterial small subunit ribosomal RNA", at positions 376 to 1452 of the family's 1533-position model. The record is from RNAcentral. Lineage: Bacteria; Pseudomonadati; Pseudomonadota; Gammaproteobacteria; Moraxellales; Moraxellaceae.
GGCAACCCUGAUCCAGCCAUGCCGCGUGUGUGAAGAAGGCCUUUUGGUUGUAAAGCACUUUAAGCGAGGAGGAGGCUCUUCUAGUUAAUACCUAGGAUGAGUGGACGUUACUCGCAGAAUAAGCACCGGCUAACUCUGUGCCAGCAGCCGCGGUAAUACAGAGGGUGCGAGCGUUAAUCGGAUUUACUGGGCGUAAAGCGUACGUAGGCGGCUUUUUAAGUCGGAUGUGAAAUCCCUGAGCUUAACUUAGGAAUUGCAUUCGAUACUGGGAAGCUAGAGUAUGGGAGAGGAUGGUAGAAUUCCAGGUGUAGCGGUGAAAUGCGUAGAGAUCUGGAGGAAUACCGAUGGCGAAGGCAGCCAUCUGGCCUAAUACUGACGCUGAGGUACGAAAGCAUGGGGAGCAAACAGGAUUAGAUACCCUGGUAGUCCAUGCCGUAAACGAUGUCUACUAGCCGUUGGGGCCUUUGAGGCUUUAGUGGCGCAGCUAACGCGAUAAGUAGACCGCCUGGGGAGUACGGUCGCAAGACUAAAACUCAAAUGAAUUGACGGGGGCCCGCACAAGCGGUGGAGCAUGUGGUUUAAUUCGAUGCAACGCGAAGAACCUUACCUGGUCUUGACAUAGUAAGAACUUUCCAGAGAUGGAUUGGUGCCUUCGGGAACUUACAUACAGGUGCUGCAUGGCUGUCGUCAGCUCGUGUCGUGAGAUGUUGGGUUAAGUCCCGCAACGAGCGCAACCCUUUUCCUUAUUUGCCAGCGGGUUAAGCCGGGAACUUUAAGGAUACUGCCAGUGACAAACUGGAGGAAGGCGGGGACGACGUCAAGUCAUCAUGGCCCUUACGACCAGGGCUACACACGUGCUACAAUGGUCGGUACAAAGGGUUGCUACUCCGCGAGGAGAUGCUAAUCUCAAAAAGCCGAUCGUAGUCCGGAUCGCAGUCUGCAACUCGACUGCGUGAAGUCGGAAUCGCUAGUAAUCGCGGAUCAGAAUGCCGCGGUGAAUACGUUCCCGGGCCUUGUACACACCGCCCGUCACACCAUGGGAGUUUGUUGCACCAGAAGUAGGUAGUCUAACCGUAAGGAGGACG